This 73-nucleotide transfer RNA is filed under the name Stegodyphus mimosarum. It matches the Rfam family "tRNA". Rfam says of the family: Transfer RNA (tRNA) molecules are approximately 80 nucleotides in length. Their secondary structure includes four short double-helical elements and three loops (D, anti-codon, and T loops). Lineage: Eukaryota; Metazoa; Arthropoda; Arachnida; Araneae; Eresidae. The record is from Rfam by way of RNAcentral.
GCCUUCAUGGUGUAAUGCUCAGCACGCUCGAUGCGUAACCGAGAGGUCCGCGGUUCGAUUCCCGGCGAAGGCG